GCAGUUUUGGAGAGAGGGGCGACCAUCCAUUUUCCCCUGGCAUUCAUGUCGCCCGUUCCCCAUUCCUCUUCGACAGGCGCUCCUCCCAGCGGCGGCGAUUUCUGGAGAGUGAGAAGGGAGAGAAACGCCAUUGGAGAUGCUUUGCCCAGAUUGCUCUUCACACUGUCAGAGUGCAAAUGGCCGAAGCUUCAGCUUGCAUCUUCAUGAUGCCGAUGAAACCUUUGUGGUUAUCUGUUGACUCACAAAUAGGUAGCCUUUUUCUGUACUGUUAGAAUCUGCAUGUUUUUUUUUCAUUUACAGGGGUGUUUCUGCAUGUUUUCCAAAAGAAGAGUACAGGAUCUUUUUUUCCCUCCAAAUAUCCACCUAUCGUUAUUUGUGUGGCUCUGCUAUGUUUUUCGCCUGCACCGUUUGAAUCGGUGGGGGAGAGAGACAGAAGGGAGCAAAGAAGAGGGUGAGAAGCUCCAAGACGAUGGCAUGUGACGUCGCCGCCGCCGAGAUCCGUGGCAUCGGGAGCAUCCCCGAAGACUUCACGUCCGCCGUUCCCACGGUGGUCGUCCAGCCCUGCGCGCCCGACGAGCACCGCGGCAUCCGCAUCUUCACCGAGCAGUCUGCGACCGACGAGCCUCCUGCUAUGGGCGCCGCUCCCGAGCUCUGCGCCGGACGCUCCGGUCAAGAAGCUUGCAAGCAAAGAUACAAAUUCUGACCAGUUGGAGUUGAACAACAAUAAUCAACGACAUGACUCAGGAAAUGACAGUAUGACUGACCAGUAGGAGCAAACAUCUCAUGGCAUUUGUUCAUAAGCUAUGCAAACUAUAGUUGAUCAUCAGACGGCAAAUGUUUGUGUCUUUUUUUAAACAGAAGCUUGCAAGCAAAGAUACAAAUUCUGACCAGUUGGAGUUGAACAACAAUAAUCAACGACAUGACUCAGGAAAUGACAGUAUGACUGACCAGUAGGAGCAAACAUCUCAUGGCAUUUGUUCAUAAGCUAUGCAAACUAUAGUUGAUCAUCAGACGGCAUGUUCUAAACUACAGGAAGCUACUUUUUUUCCUUUUUGUGUUUGUUCUCCUUUUUGUUGUAUUUUAUUUUUCUCUUUUUUAAUUUUCAUAAGUUGAAUUCUCUGACAGAAACUUCAUUUAUUUGUACAGUUGGAAAAAAAACAAGAGUGGAAGCACGAAAGGAGUGUUUUGAAAGAGCAAA
Triticum aestivum (bread wheat) is the source of this 1198-nucleotide long non-coding RNA. RefSeq lists it as uncharacterized. The record is from RefSeq and is a predicted model, not a curated record. NCBI's taxonomy places the organism in Eukaryota, Viridiplantae, Streptophyta, Magnoliopsida, Poales, Poaceae. The transcript is spliced from 5 exons.